This 468-nucleotide ribosomal RNA is filed under the name uncultured bacterium. Its description in RNAcentral is "partial 16S ribosomal RNA". It matches the Rfam family "Bacterial small subunit ribosomal RNA", at positions 28 to 507 of the family's 1533-position model. The record is from RNAcentral.
GACGAACGCUGGCGGCGUGCUUAACACAUGCAAGUCGAACGGACAGGCCCUGCUCUUGCGUGGCGCUCGAUUGGCGAACGGGUGAGUAACACGUGAGUAUCCCGCCCCUGUCUUUGUGAUAACUUCAGGAAACUGCGGCUCAUACCGGAUAUGAUCUCCUGCUGCAUGUUGGUGGUUGGAAAGUUUCGGCGGUUGGGGAUGGACUCGCGGCUUAUCAGCUUGUUGGUGGGGUAGUUGCUUACCAAGGGUUUGACGGGUAGCCUACCUGAGAGGGUUACCGGCCACAAGGGGACUGAGAUACGGCCCAGAAUGCUACGGGAGGCAGCGGGGGGGAAUAUUGCAGAAUGGGGGGAAGCGUGAUGCAGCAGCGCCGGGUGCGGGAUGACGGGCUUCGGGUUGUAAACCGCUUUCGCCUGUGACGAGGCGAGAGUGACGGUAAUGAGUAAAGAAGCACCGGCUAACUACGUG